AUACGUAGGUGACAAGCGUUAUCCGGAUUUACUGGGCGUAAAGGGUGCGUAGGCGGUCGGGUAAGCGUAGGGUGAAAGUCCUCUGCUCAACAGAGGAAGUGCCUUCCGAACUGUCCGACUGGAAUGCUCCUGCCGUGGGAGGAAUGUGUGGUGUAGCGGUGAAAUGCAUAGAGAUCACACAGAACACCGAUUGCGAAGGCAUCUCACGAAGGGGCUAAUGACGCUGAGGCACGAAAGCGUGGGGAUCAAACAGGAUUAGAUACCCUGGUAGUCCACGCAGUAAACGAUGAUGACUAACCGUCGGGCAAGACUGAUCGGUGGCCAAGCGAAAGCGAUAAGUCAUCCACCUGGGGAGUACGACCGCAAGGUUGAAACUCAAAGGAAUUGACGGGG
This 393-nucleotide ribosomal RNA is filed under the name uncultured bacterium. Its description in RNAcentral is "partial 16S ribosomal RNA". It matches the Rfam family "Bacterial small subunit ribosomal RNA", at positions 523 to 918 of the family's 1533-position model. The record is from RNAcentral.